UGAGCAAUCUGCCCUUCUCAUCGGAAUAAGCGUUGGAAACGACGUCUAAUGCCGAAUACGACCUCCUUUCGCAUGAUCGGAGGUGGAAAGCUCCGGCGGAGAAGGAUGAGCUCGCGGCCUAUCAGCUAGUUGGUGUGGGGUAAUGGCUCACCAAGGCGACGACGGAUAACCGGCCUGAGAGGGCGACCGGUCACACCGGGACUGAGACACGGCCCAGACUCCUACGGGAGCAG
RNAcentral lists this ribosomal RNA (233 nucleotides) under uncultured bacterium. RNAcentral describes it as "partial 16S ribosomal RNA". It matches the Rfam family "Bacterial small subunit ribosomal RNA", at positions 118 to 347 of the family's 1533-position model. The record is from RNAcentral.